GAUGAACGCUGGCGGCGUGCCUAAUACAUGCAAGUCGAGCGAACGGACGAGAAGCUUGCUUCUCUGAUGUUAGCGGCGGACGGGUGAGUAACACGUGGAUAACCUACCUAUAAGACUGGGAUAACUUCGGGAAACCGGAGCUAAUACCGGAUGAUAUUUUGAACCGCAUGGUUCAAAAGUGAAAGACGGUCUUGCUGUCACUUAUAGAUGGAUCCGCGCUGCAUUAGCUAGUUGGUAAGGUAACGGCUUACCAAGGCAACGAUGCAUAGCCGACCUGAGAGGGUGAUCGGCCACACUGGAACUGAGACACGGUCCAGACGCCUACGGGAGGCAGCAGUAGAGAAUCUUCCGCAAUGGGCGAAAGCCUGACGGAGCAACGCCGCGUGAGUGAUGAAGGUCUUCGGAUCGUAAAACUCUGUUAUUAGGGAAGAACAUAUGUGUAAGUAACUGUGCACAUCUUGACGGUACCUAAUCAGAAAGCCACGGCUAACUACGUG
Molecule: ribosomal RNA, 497 nt
Filed under: uncultured bacterium
Lineage: Bacteria
Description: partial 16S ribosomal RNA
Rfam family: Bacterial small subunit ribosomal RNA
Source: RNAcentral